GAUGAACGCUGGCGGCGUGCCUAAUACAUGCAAGUCGAGCGAACAGAUGAGGAGCUUGCUCCUCUGACGUUAGCGGCGGACGGGUGAGUAACACGUGGAUAACCUACCUAUAAGACUGGGAUAACUUCGGGAAACCGGCGCUAAUACCGGAUAAUAUAUUGAACCGCAUGGUUCAAUAGUGAAAGACGGUUUUGCUGUCACUUAUAGAUGGAUCCGUGCCGCAUUAGCUAGUUGGUAAGGUAACGGCUUACCAAGGCGACGAUGCGUAGCCGACCUGAGAGGGUGAUCGGCCACACUGGAGCGGGGACGCGGUCCAGACUCCUAAGGGAGGCAGCAGUAGGGAAUCUUCGGCAAUGGGCGGAAGCCUGACGGAGGAAAGCCGCGUGAGUGAUGAAGGUCUUCGGAUCGUAAAACUCUGUUAUUAGGGAAGAACAAAUGUGUAAGUAACUAUGCACGUCUUGACGGUACCUAAUCAGAAAGCCACGGCUAACUACGUG
This 497-nucleotide ribosomal RNA is filed under the name uncultured bacterium. RNAcentral's name for it is "partial 16S ribosomal RNA". It matches the Rfam family "Bacterial small subunit ribosomal RNA", at positions 28 to 507 of the family's 1533-position model. The record is from RNAcentral.